Priapulus caudatus is the source of this 503-nucleotide long non-coding RNA. RefSeq lists it as uncharacterized. The transcript has 3 exons. The record is from RefSeq and is a predicted model, not a curated record. Lineage: Eukaryota; Metazoa; Priapulida; Priapulimorpha; Priapulimorphida; Priapulidae.
UGCGAUCUCCACGACCGUACAGCGACCAGGCGUGGGUGAGCGCUGCACUGCGUGAUACACAGGAUGUCUACGGCUGGGAGGAGCAGCUACUAAAGACGUUCAAGUGCUUUGAAAAGGCAGCGGUUCUCGCGUUCAGAGGGCAGCACUGGGUACUUCUGCAUAAUGUCUUCUCAACCAUAUGGAACCAGCUGAACUGGUUGAGACUUCACACAGAGAACGUGGGCUGCCCUAUCAAUGGGGCCAUGCUGCAACGUGCAACGUGGCACUGCCUGAACGUAACUGUCGACUGUAUGUUGGAAGCAGUACUGCAGCGAGAUUCCCCACAAGUGCAGACUGAGGAGAGUGAGACAACUGGAGCUAGCCUGCGAUGUGACAACAGGCUGGAUGGUGUUGCCUCUAACAGAGCGAUGCUCGAGCAGGCAGCACUACUAACGUUGGAGAUGCUUCAUGAAGCAGAGAAAUGGGAAAAGCUGAUACAUCUAGCACUGAUGUUCCUCGCCUGG